Molecule: ribosomal RNA, 311 nt
Filed under: uncultured bacterium
Lineage: Bacteria
Description: bacterial SSU rRNA
Rfam family: Bacterial small subunit ribosomal RNA
Source: RNAcentral
GAUGAACGCUAGCGACAGGCUUAACACAUGCAAGUCGAGGGGCAGCACAAUGUAGCAAUACACGGGUGGCGACCGGCGCACGGGUGAGUAACGCGUAUGCAACUUGCCUAUCAGAGGGGGAUAACCCGUCGAAAGACGGACUAAUACCGCAUGAAACAGGGGCCCCGCAUGGGGAUAUUUGUUAAAGAAAAUCGCUGAUAGAUAGGCAUGCGUUCCAUUAGGUAGUUGGCGGGGCAACGGCCCACCAAGCCGACGAUGGAUAGGGGUUCUGAGAGGAAGGUCCCCCACAUUGGUACUGAGACACGGACCAA